CACAGUUACAAACAUGGGCCAGGUUAACAGACACACAUGAAGAGAAGCUGGGCGGCCAUGUUGGGGAUCAUGUUGACCACUACCCCCCUGGGUUUCAGGUCUGCAAACAUAGGACAGUUACAAACAUGGGCCAGGUUAACGGACACACAUGAAGAGAAGCUGGGCGGCCAUGUUGGGGAUCAUGUUGACCACUACCCCCCUGGGUUUCAGGUCUGCAAACAUAGGACAGUUACAAACAUGGGCCAGGUUAACGGACACACAUGAAGAGAAGCUGGGCGGCCAUGUUGGGGAUCAUGUUGACCACUACCCCCCUGGGCUUCAGGUCUGCAAACAUAGGACAGUUACAAACAUGGGCCAGGUUAACGGACACACAUGAAGAGAAGCUGGGCGGCCAUGUUGGGGAUCAUGUUGACCACUACCCCCCUGGGUUUCAGGUCUGACAAAGAG
Molecule: long non-coding RNA, 447 nt
Organism: Oncorhynchus keta (chum salmon)
Lineage: Eukaryota; Metazoa; Chordata; Actinopteri; Salmoniformes; Salmonidae
Exons: 4
Source: RefSeq, a predicted model, not a curated record